UUUCUUUUUUUCUUAUUAUUUUUUUUCUUCCACUUUUUUUGUCCAGCUUAUAUCUUGGAAUUUUAUGAACCAAUGUUAAUGGAACUUAACCAUAAUGUUGACCAGCAUGUGCAGAUUUGCAAUCGGGGUAUGGCAUUUUCAAGAUGGCCGCAGUUACCAUAGAAACGGAACAAAUGUGAAAAAAUACAGUUUUUCGUUUUG
Molecule: long non-coding RNA, 201 nt
Filed under: Mytilus galloprovincialis (Mediterranean mussel)
Lineage: Eukaryota; Metazoa; Mollusca; Bivalvia; Mytilida; Mytilidae
Source: RNAcentral